GAUGAAGAACGUAGCGAAAUGCGAUAGGUAGUGUGAAUUGCAGAUGUAACGUGAAUCAUCGAAUCUUUGAACGCAAAUUGCACUCUCUGGUAUUCCGGGGAGUAUGCCUGUUUGAGGGUCGCCAAAUCAACAUCGAAAUUCAUUUGCUUUUGUAAAUGUUUAUCGGAUUUGAGCCGUCUUUUAUUUUUUUAAUUAAAGUGGCUUAAAAUGUAUUUUUUGGUAUCGAAAAACGUUAUUUUACGAUCAAAUUGAUUAAAAAAACAAACGUUUCGAAUGCCGUCUUUUAAUGUAAUACGCUUGACUGUGGUGUUAUCAUAGUUUCAUUCGUAUACGAUUUUUUAAUUUUUGACCUCAAAUCAGGUAAGAACACCCGCUGAACUUAAGCAUAUCAAUAAGCGGAGGA
This 403-nucleotide unclassified non-coding RNA is filed under the name soil metagenome. RNAcentral describes it as "partial contains 5.8S ribosomal RNA, internal transcribed spacer 2, and large subunit ribosomal RNA". The stretch from base 1 to 121 matches the Rfam family "5.8S ribosomal RNA", at positions 35 to 154 of the family's 154-position model. The record is from RNAcentral.